This is a non-coding RNA of Triticum urartu, 2245 nucleotides long. The record is from RefSeq and is a predicted model, not a curated record. NCBI's taxonomy places the organism in Eukaryota, Viridiplantae, Streptophyta, Magnoliopsida, Poales, Poaceae.
CUCCUUCUCCCACUUCUGGGCGGCGGCGAAGAACCCUAGAUCCAGAAAUCCAGAGACAUUUGAGUGGUGGGAGGGCAAGGUUGGGGGCGACCCUCGCUCGUUCGCGGCGGUCGCAGCUACCCCGCCCAUGGCGAACGAUGCGGGACGCGGAUUCCAGGGAGAGGGACGCGGAGGUGGCGGCGGUGGCCGCUCGGAUCGCGGAGGAGGGCGCCAUGGCGGCCGGGGCAGCGCCCGCGGAGGAGACCACAGCAAGUUCUCAUGGCGGCGCGAAGAUGGAGGCAACCACUCCAAGAACGCCUCCGCCAUAAUCCAGCCGGGGUCAGGAGACACCUCGCGCUGAGAUGAGGCGGCGGGUGCUGGUCGCCAUGAGUCCCAGGAGGGUGGGAUCUGGGUGCAGAAGACCCAGGCCUCGUCGGGCUCAGGUGACACCACUGCUGGACGCCAGGCUGCGUCUUCUCCUCGUCAGGUUCAGGGAAGAAGAAACCCUACCCAGAUACCUCCUCCUAAGAAACUUGAUGCCUGUCCUAUUUGCAAAUCUCAUGAGCAUCCACCUACUCGAUGCCCUUAGGCUUAUUGUGAGAGAUGUAGUAAGCUAGGCCAUCUGACAUCUGUGUGUGUGGAAUUUCUUCCUUGGGAGUGUAUGGCAUCUAUGUGCGCAUUUCAAUCUAAGGGGAAGGGGUUUUACUACAUUCAUGAUCCUUGUACUGCUAAUCAGAUUAAGGAGAGGGCCAAUAACAUUGUUGUCACUAUAAUGGAAGGGGAAACCUCCACUCGUCAAAUGGAACUAGAUUUAAAUGCUUAUCUUGCUACUGGAUGGAGAUGCUCUGCUCAUGCAAUAGGACCGGGGUGUUUGUUGUUCGUUUCCCUAAUCCUCGUGCAGUUGCACAGAUUUGCUAUGUUGGAAAAGUCACCUUAAAAACCAGUGGGGCUGUGAUCCAUGCUACACGCUGGUCCUCUACAAUUGGGGCUAAGGGGAUGAUGGAAAUGGCAUGGAUUAAAGUGAGCAAUGUUCCUCUAGAUAAAAGAAGUGAAAGAAAUCUAGCAUUUGUAGCCUCUCUGGCCGGGGUCCCUCUGGAAAUCGACGCAGCUACCCUACAUCGCCCUGCCUCUGCCCGGGUUAGGAUAGGGUGCAGAAAUGUUGAUGAGAUCCCUGUUGUAGCGAAAGCUGUACUGGGAGAUCAUUUCUAUAAAUUUUACUAUGAGGUGGACCAGAUCCUGGUGAGAGACCCAAAAAGGGAGAAAGAGAAGGUGCAAGCCCCUACUAAUCCUGAUACGAACAGUACUGAAAGAAGAAAUGUUCCCUCUAUGGCUCCUGGAGCUCAGAAAGCUGACAUAUCACAUGGGCUUGGAGGGAAAUCUCCCUAAAUUCCCCAUGGAGAUAAAUCAGACCCAAUCCGGGAGUCUCAAGAGAGUACUGAUUCAGAUGAUUCGCUGCACAACACUCUCCUCAUUGACACCAUGGCCUUUGAGAUGGCUCAGGUAAAAGUAAGACCUCCUGAUAAGAUUCCUACAGAUAGUAGUAAGAACCUUCCUAAAAAAACUUACUCUGAUAUUGUCAAAAAAUCUCAGUAGGUGGGUGGUGUUACUGCUUGCUGUGAUGGUGCGAUAAUCACUAAUGAGUACAGAGUUGAAUUGCCCGAGGGUGAAAUGGAGAACGAAGUGCCGGCUUCUCCUCCGCUGGUAACUGAAGAAAAUCUUCGCUUUAGCCUGCGCAACGCCCAGAACAAGAUGGAGAGGGUGGAUGAAAGAGCUAUAGCAGUAGCUAAAAAACGAGACCUGGAAGGUCUGAUGAGGGGCGAAGAUCGUGAAGCAAUGGAGCAUGGAGCUAAGAUGCCGAGGAUCAAUGCCUCGAACAUGAUGCGUAUCUGCGCGGCGCCAGGGGGGACAACUGAAGGUGUGGAUGGCAGAAGUUAGCUCCGAGACAUCCUGUUUUCUCCUGAUCGCGGUUCAUCUGCUUCGGACUACCUUUUUGGGCUCCUGAUGUCUGGUGGUGUGUGUGGUUUUCUGCUCCUGCGUGAGCAUAAACUUUGAUCAGCCUGUUGAUUUAUAUAUGUGUGUGGUAGUUAUGUUGGUGUCACUGGGUUUUCCCCGCGGUGAACUGCCCGAUGACGGGUGUUCAUCGUGGGUUUCCCAGGAAUGCUUGAACUCGCGUUCCCCUUUCUUUGGUUUCCUGGGUAGUUGUUGAACUGUUGUAUUUCCGUUAUGAAAGUAAUGGAAAGGGGUUGCGCCCGGUUCAAAAGAAAAA